UCUGAGGCUUAGAUUUCUUCUCGUUCUCAAGAGCUAUAAAAGGAUACAGCAAGGUUGGAUGCUUCCUUAUGGCCCAAAAGGGAGUAGACUCUUUCCUUAAAGCAGUCUGAGAAGCAAGAGAAAUGGUAUGGUUCUUUAAUUUAGACUUUGCUAAAAGGAAGAAUGAUCCAAAAUUCUAACGUAUGUGUGAAGAUGGAAAGGCCAUCAGAGGAAAGAAAAUCUUGUCUGAUGAUGUAACAACGUGGCAUAGUUCUGAAACUCCUCUCCAGUCUUCCUUGACCUUCCUGCCCCUGUAUGUCAUUCCUGCUAGGUCAAGAGCACCUCACAGCUGCUGAGCCGUCCGCUAUCUGCAGUGGUGCUGAAACGACCGGAGAUACUGACAGAUGAGAGCCUCAGCAGCUUGGCAGUCUCACGUCCCCUUACCUCACUUGUCUCUAGCCGCAACUUCCAAACCAGUGCCAUUUCAAGGGACAUCGACACAGCAGCCAAGUUCAUUGGAGCUGGGGCU
This 508-nucleotide small RNA is filed under the name Pongo abelii (Sumatran orangutan). RNAcentral's name for it is "retained intron". Lineage: Eukaryota; Metazoa; Chordata; Mammalia; Primates; Hominidae. The record is from RNAcentral.